Non-coding RNA from Mycena rosella, 93 nucleotides. The record is from the annotation of a GenBank genome assembly. Lineage: Eukaryota; Fungi; Basidiomycota; Agaricomycetes; Agaricales; Mycenaceae.
UGGGACGUGGUGUAUCGCACACCGCUGCAUUGAAUAAGUGGUGCUCAUGACAUGUAACCGCAGCAGGCCGGGGUUCGACUCCCCGCGUCCCGA